RNAcentral lists this transfer RNA (57 nucleotides) under Bos taurus (domestic cattle). It matches the Rfam family "tRNA", at positions 8 to 63 of the family's 71-position model. From Rfam's summary of the family: Transfer RNA (tRNA) molecules are approximately 80 nucleotides in length. The record is from Rfam by way of RNAcentral. Lineage: Eukaryota; Metazoa; Chordata; Mammalia; Artiodactyla; Bovidae. RNAcentral also lists the same sequence under 6 other names.
UAGCUCAGUUGGUAAAGAAUCUGCCUGCAAUGCAGGAGACCCAGGUUCAAAACCUGG